AUUGAACGCUGGCGGCAGGCCUAACACAUGCAAGUCGAACGAGUGGCGGACGGGUGAGUAAUGUCUGGGAAACUGCCUGAUGGAGGGGGAUAACUACUGGAAACGGUAGCUAAUACCGCAUACCAUCGGAUGUGCCCAGAUGGGAUUAGCUUGUAGGUGGGGUAACGGCUCACCUAGGCGACGAUCACUAGAUGGUCUGAGAGGAUGACCGUCCACACUGGAACUGUGACACGGUCCAGACUCCUACGGGAGGUAGCAGUGGGGAAGAUUGCACAAUGGGCGCAAGCCUGAUGCAGCCACGCCGCGUGUAUGAAGAAGGCCUUCGGGUUGUAAAGUACUUUCAGCGGGGAGGCGUUACCCGCAUAAGAAGCACCGGCUAACUCCGUGCCAGCCGCCGCGGUAAUUC
RNAcentral lists this ribosomal RNA (406 nucleotides) under uncultured bacterium. RNAcentral's name for it is "partial 16S ribosomal RNA". It matches the Rfam family "Bacterial small subunit ribosomal RNA", at positions 30 to 526 of the family's 1533-position model. The record is from RNAcentral.